UAAAUUGAAUAGUCGCUGGUAAAAUUCGAAAGGAUUUACGAGAGGAAAGUCCGGGCUCCGUAGAGCAAUGAUGCUAGAUAACGUCUAGUGAGGGAAACCUUAAGGAAAGUGCAACAGAAAAUAACCGCCUCUAUAUGUGUAGUUUUAACUACUUAUAAUCUAAUAAUAUUAUAUAAAAAUUAAAUUAAAGAAAAUAAAAUUUUCCUUAAAAAUUUGAGGUAAGGGUGAAAAGGCGAGGUAAGAGCUCACCGCCAGUAUGGUGACAUAUUGGGUCAGUGUAAACCCCAUCUGGAGCAACACCUAAGUAGAAGAUUAAGUCUGCUCGGCGUCUUCUGAAUUGCGUGGCUUGAUACAUAUAGCAAUAUAUGUACUAGAUAAAUGACUAUUUUAAAGGACAGAACCCGGCUUACAGAUUUACUUU
This 421-nucleotide RNase P RNA is filed under the name chicken gut metagenome. Its description in RNAcentral is "Bacterial RNase P class A". It matches the Rfam family "Bacterial RNase P class A". Rfam says of the family: Ribonuclease P (RNase P) is a ubiquitous endoribonuclease, found in archaea, bacteria and eukarya as well as chloroplasts and mitochondria. The record is from RNAcentral.